RNAcentral lists this long non-coding RNA (895 nucleotides) under Physcomitrium patens. Its description in RNAcentral is "long non-coding RNA (PPAT_LNC000089)". Lineage: Eukaryota; Viridiplantae; Streptophyta; Bryopsida; Funariales; Funariaceae. The record is from RNAcentral.
UUAGUUAAUCCCUAAAUAAGCCCUAACAAAAACUUAGAUAAAUCCUAGUCAAAUCUUAAUCAAAUCCUAAUCAAAUCCUAAUCAAAUCCUAAACAAAUCUUAAUCAAAUCUUAAUCAAAUCUUAAAAAAAUCCUAAUCAAAUCCUAAAUAAGUCCUAACUAAAUCUUAGAUAAAUCCUAAAUAUAUCCUAAUCAAAUCCUAAAUAAAUUAUAGUCAAAUUCUAAUCAAAUCUUAAUAAAAUCUUAAUCAAAUCCUAAACAAAUCCUAAGAAAAUCCUAGUCAAAUCCUAGCCAAAUCUUAAAUAAGUUCUAAUCAAAUCCUAGAAAAAUCCUAAACAAAUCCUAGCCAAAUCUUAAAUAAGUUCUUACCAAAUUCUAGACAAAUCCUAAAUAAAUCUUGAUAAAAUCUUAAUCAAAUCUUAGACAAAUCCUAAAUAAGCUCUAACCAAAUCCUAAACAAAUCCUACUCAAAUCCUAAUCAAAUCCUAAUCUAAAUCAAAUUCUAAUCCUAAAAAAAUCCUAAUCCUAACCAAAUCUUAAAUCAAUCCAAAAUCCUAAUCCUAAUCCUAAACCGAACCCUAAUCAAUUCUAAGUAAUUCCUUCAACAGUUUAAACCUCAAUAACUAAUGAAUGAACCAUUGAUUUUAAUUCAAUUUUUGCACACCUCUUAACAAUUAAGUUGACAACAAGUAUAAAAAAAAAUUGGAAAAGAUUGGAAUUACUAAAUAGAAGAUAUUCUCAAAAAUGUGCUCGGGUGUUGGCCAGCCUCCUUCUCCAACCUUGAUGCCAAUCUCUUAGAGCCAAUUACUCCUGAUCAAAUCAUUACUUUCCUUUUAAACUUUAUACAUUUGUUAGAAAUCAAGCUAACUACUUCUAUGAAAUUUUUUUGCCUCAAU